RNAcentral lists this ribosomal RNA (426 nucleotides) under uncultured bacterium. RNAcentral's name for it is "bacterial SSU rRNA". It matches the Rfam family "Bacterial small subunit ribosomal RNA", at positions 354 to 796 of the family's 1533-position model. The record is from RNAcentral.
GUGGGGAAUAUUGCACAAUGGGGGAAACCCUGAUGCAGCAACGCCGCGUGAAGGAAGACGGUUUUCGGAUUGUAAACUUCUGUUCUUAGUGAAGAAUAAUGACGGUAGCUAAGGAGCAAGCCACGGCUAACUACGUGCCAGCAGCCGCGGUAAUACGUAGGUGGCAAGCGUUGUCCGGAAUUACUGGGUGUAAAGGGAGCGCAGGCGGGUCGGCAAGUUGGAGGUGAAAGCUGUGGGCUCAACUCACAAACUGCCUUCAAAACUGCCGGUCUUGAGUGGUGUAGAGGUAGGCGGAAUUCCCGGUGUAGCGGUGGAAUGCGUAGAUAUCGGGAGGAACACCAGUGGCGAAGGCGGCCUACUGGGCACUAACUGACGCUGAGGCUCGAAAGCAUGGGUAGCAAACAGGAUUAGAAACCCUUGUAGUCC